This 2197-nucleotide long non-coding RNA is filed under the name Struthio camelus australis. RNAcentral describes it as "lncRNA (ENSSCUG00000013303.1)". Lineage: Eukaryota; Metazoa; Chordata; Aves; Struthioniformes; Struthionidae. The record is from RNAcentral.
GAGCUGGAGGAAGUCUUGAUUUUAUAAGCAUCCCCUUUCUCUUGUCUCUCCUAUUCUUCAAGGUCAGGUGGAAGCUGAAUUGUGUUAGUGAUGAGCAAUGGAAUACAUACUUGUGAGCCUGAAGGAAACUCAUCCUGAAUUGCUGCUGUUCUCCCUGCUAAAAGCCACCACAAAGACUGCCGUGCUCCUGUGGUGAUGGAUGUGUUAUGUAGGGCAUUAUAUAGUGCCACUCUGAUGCAUUGCAAGGCCUGUGCUAGCCCCACAGUCCACAGUGUUCCUGUUUGAAACAUGGGCAAGGUCACUGCCCUCCUCCUAAAAGCAGAUGAAGGAAAUGGUCUCAUAGCGGUUUGACAUUAUUGGGUUACUCUCAGCAGCCACAUUUUGGCUUAUAAAGGUCCUGCUGUUUUUAUUUGAACGGACAUGUGGUGGAGCCUCCCUAUGCCAAGGAAAAAGCCAUUACAACUAAUUCUCACUAUUUAUAUUUCUCCCUGAUGAGAAUAUCUCUUUCUGUUCAUCGUGUGAAUUUGGUCUCUGCUGCCCCUUUCUGGGAACAUCUGUAAAUGCAUCACGUCUAUCAGAAGAAAAAGGCACGAAGCUUGAUCUCCUGGACCACGGAGCCGUGCCGGGCUCCUCUGGCUUUCCUCACCUUGCCGGAUGCUACGCGUUUGACAACAUUGUCUCCUCCUCAUCAGCUAUAUCUUGAGCGCUCUGGCCCUCUGGAACUUGCUCCCAAACCUUUCUUCCCAAGAACUGUCCCAUGCAAAGCAGUGGGUACCUACCUUGAACAGAGGACGUCAAGGUGACCCUUAGGAAUACUGCUGCGACCACCUUUCUUAAGUACCCGUGACAUUUCCACAAAGGGUAGCUGGUGGAGGCAGCUUUCAGGAUGGCUGAGCAGCGUGGCUGAUGCCUGCCCACCCACAGAUCAUGUCGACAGUCUCCUUGUCAGCAUCACCUGGCAGCCAACAUCCCCCUGACCUGCUGGUGGAGACCAUGCUGAAUCCCCUUCCUACCUCCAGGCCUCGAACCGACAAAGUCUUGGUUGCGAGGAAUACAAAUCCCAUCCAGGCUGGACAACUUUCUGCACAGACCGAAAAGACGUCAGGAUGCAUCAGAGACACUAGAGAACACUGCAGAUUUGUCUAUUCAGAGAUGUUUAAGUCUCAGCGAUUAAUUACCCAUUACGCUGUGUUAUAGGACACGUCUGAGCCAUGGUCGUCUGGACACGGCACACGUUUCUUCCAGGACAUGAAUGCAAGCAGAUGUCCUGCUCAGCCUGUACAAAUGCAUGAAUGAGCUGGAAUUACUUGCAAUCAGUUGACUCCAGUCAAAUACUUUUGUGUUUCCAUGUUCACAGUUUGUGUAGUCAAAUCCUGAGAAGGGAAGUGAUUUUGAGUCUGACUAUUUAAAGUUUUUUGUAUGAUUUUCUUAACAGCUGUUGCAUCCUAACAGUUGGGAGAAAAAUCUUCUUUUCGUAAGGACUCUGUAAGGCUCUCUUAGCUGGAGGAUGAAGCUAUUUCCCUUCUACAUUUCCUGGAGUCCUUCAUUGAGAUCAAGGGGUAAUUAUUCCUGAUAUUUUGAAAGUUAAAAAAAAAAAAAGUAGUAAAUGACAUUUAAAGAGAAAUAAGCCAAGCCAGACUUAGCAAAGACUCAGCAAAGUCUGGCCGUUUCCCCCCACCUUUCCAGAUCACCUCAGCAGCUUUAUUUCCCAGGUUUGAGCAGGUUACCCCGAGUAACGGGUGUUUGUUUGACAAAGCGCUAUUACUCCUUGUUACUUCUGAACCUCAAUAGUCACAGAGAGAUUAUAAACGCGUAAAGAAAUAAUACCGACACUAGGGGAGGUCUCCUUCCUCGCCAGUGUGGACGUUUGUCAACUCGUGUUGCACCUAACGAUGGAUGCCUGCGAGCUGGAGAGGAAUUCUCCUCUGCUUGCCCUCCCUGCCUCCGGGCAGCAGGAGAGCAGGGACAGGGAUAGCUGGCAGCUGCGUCCAGCUUUAACCUCCCUGAGGAGCAGGUUUGUCUGUCUACUUACUGGACUUCCCCAGGGUAGGAGAAGCUGAGUCCCACCAGUGCCCGGUGCCCAGCUCACAGAGCCGUGCAUUGCUGCCCAAAAAAGGGAGCCCCAGAGCAAGCCGGCAGAUCAGCCUGUUCCCGGGAGGUGGUGCAAACCCGGACAGACCGGAUGUGCUUUUAGAGC